This 102-nucleotide microRNA precursor is filed under the name Marmota monax (woodchuck). The record is from RNAcentral. Lineage: Eukaryota; Metazoa; Chordata; Mammalia; Rodentia; Sciuridae.
AGUGGAAUCGUUGGGAUAUAUGAUAAAUUUAUGCUUAACUUUUAAGAAACUGUCAAAUUGUUUUCCAAAGUAGCUCUACCAUUCUAUAUUCCCAUCAGCAAU